GUCUCUCUGACUAGCAAGGGAGAAGAAUGGGUGCCCGAGGUCUGUCCUCUACCAAGGACCUGGAAAACUUAGUGGACUGGAAAACCAAAAUAGUGGAACACGAGACAUAGUGAUGGGCACAACUGUGGACCACUAAGCCUAAAGGUCCAGUGUGACUCUUGUAAGAGUCAGGUAUGUGCCCUUCCUUCCAGAGGGAACCAAUGAAAACCUGAUUGAGAAGAGAGUACAGCUGCAACUGAAGUAGGAACAGGAGAAACAGCAAAAUGAGUGAAAGUGAAGUUACCAAAAAGCUGGUGCUCCACAGGUUGCAAGCAGAAGAAAAUGACUGACUGCAUGAGAGAGAUGGGAUUAAAAUAGAUGGAAAUUGACACAGAAGCAGCCAGGCAGAAAGCUGACCAUGAGAUGGCCCUGGAACUGAGAGACAAAGAAAUGAAGCAUGAAUUGGCCAUAAUGGAGUGGAGGAGACAGAACCUCCCACCAGGGGGCUCCACCUCUCCAAAAAUCCACAAGUGGGAGUGGUUGUGUCCAGCAUAUAGGGAA
Molecule: long non-coding RNA, 540 nt
Organism: Mauremys reevesii (Reeves's turtle)
Lineage: Eukaryota; Metazoa; Chordata; Testudines; Geoemydidae
Exons: 4
Source: RefSeq, a predicted model, not a curated record